GACGAACGCUGGCGGCGUGCCUAAUACAUGCAAGUAGAACGCUGAAGGAGGAGCUUGCUUCUCUGGAUGAGUUGCGAACGGGUGAGUAACGCGUAGGUAACCUGCCUGGUAGCGGGGGAUAACUAUUGGAAACGAUAGCUAAUACCGCAUAAUAGCAGUUGUUGCAUGAUAACUGUUUGAAAGGUGCAAUUGCACCACUACCAGAUGGACCUGCAUUGUAUUAGCUAGUUGGUGGGGAACGGCUCACCAAGGCGACGAUACAUAGCCGACCUGGGAGGGUGAUCGGCCACACUGGGACUGAGACACGGCCCAGACUCCUACGGGAGGCAGCAGUAGGGAAUCUUCGGCAAUGGACGGAAGUCUGACCGAGCAACGCCGCGUGAGUGAAGAAGGGUUUCGGAUCGUAAAGCUCUGUUGUAAGAGAAGAACGAGUGUGAGAGUGGAAAGUUCACACUGUGACGGUAUCUUACCAGAAAGGGACGGCUAACUACGUG
This 494-nucleotide ribosomal RNA is filed under the name uncultured bacterium. Its description in RNAcentral is "partial 16S ribosomal RNA". It matches the Rfam family "Bacterial small subunit ribosomal RNA", at positions 28 to 507 of the family's 1533-position model. The record is from RNAcentral.